UCGCCAGUAGCUCAGUCAGGAGAGCAGAGGACUGUAGUAGGCGCAGCUAUCCUUAGGUCGCUGGUCCGAAUUCGGCCCGACGGA
Molecule: non-coding RNA, 84 nt
Organism: Parelaphostrongylus tenuis
Lineage: Eukaryota; Metazoa; Nematoda; Chromadorea; Rhabditida; Metastrongylidae
Source: the annotation of a GenBank genome assembly